CCAUGUCCACCCAUUUCCAUUGCAGUGGUCGAAAUGGAAUUCAAAGAAACCAAUAGUUUUAGUUUGGAUUGGGACCAGAAUUUCACUGCCGAAGUGAUCCAAUUGAUGGACGCCAUUGAAGCCACUCUUCAGUCCUCUUCAUCUUCUUCUCCAUCUUCUCUCGUCAAGAAACGCCAGUCCACCAGCCUCCAAGAAAACAACCCCCAAACCUGCCGGAAAUUACCUGAUUCCAUUGUCUCUCCACCACCUUCAUUUCCAUUUUCCUUCUCACGCUGUCAAGCUCGUCCAAGGUUUAGAUAUCCGCUAUUGAGAUUUGGAGGUCAAAUUUUGUAUAGCAGAACAGAAGCUGAGGUAGAAAAAGCUGCAAUGGAGCUUUUGAAAGUUCUUGAAAUCCAGAAAAAAGAAAUGGGUCAAGUUUCUAUAGGGUUUGAUAUUGAGUGGAAACCCUCUUUCCAAAGAGGUAUUUUGCCUGGGAAGGCUGCAGUCAUGCAGAUAUGUUGUGACAAUAGGUAUUGUUAUGUGAUGCAUAUUAUUCAUUCUGGAAUACCUCAAAGUCUGCAGGUUCUCCUUGGGGAUUCCACAAUUAUAAAAGUUGGAGUUGCAAUUGGUGGCGAUGCUGUCAAGGUGUUCAGUGACUAUAAUGUAUCUGUCAAAGCUGUGGAAGAUCUUUCAUAUCUGGCAAAUCAGAAGCUCAAUAGCGAUCCCCAAAAUUGGAGUCUUGCAGCCCUCACUGAGAAGCUUGUUUGCAAAGAGCUUCCGAAGCCCAAGAGAAUUAGGCUGGGAAACUGGGAGUUGUAUCCUUUAUCCAAGGAGCAACUACAGUAUGCAGCAACAGAUGCUUUCGCUUCAUGGCACCUAUAUCAGGUCUUAAAGAACCUCCCUGAUGCAGUAAAGGAUCCGGCAGGUAAAAGUAAAGGUAUUCUAACACAAUGAUUUUCGUUGUUUUAACAUUUUUUUGUCUAAUAUCCUUAUUAAGUUAAAGAUUUGGGGUUUGCCACCAUUCUGUUUUAAUUCAAGGCAGAGUUCUCUUAGUUUCAUAGAGAGAAGCGAGCCAAAGGCCAAGAAACAAAGAGCUUAACUAUGCCAUGUUCCAGCAAAGAUGAUUCGCGUCGUCAUUCGGAAUCUAAUAUCUGUGUUUCAGAACAAACAUUUUAUUUUUAUCGAUUUAGCAUGAUCUAUUUAUGUUUAUUUGUUUGUCAAAUACUCCUUGUGCCUCUGCCUUUCAUGUACCUUCAAUGUGCUGAAUGAGUUUAUCCAUGACAUAAUGAGUUCGGGUUUUAGCCCAUGCCUUUGUUGCUUGGAUUUAAAGGUAACUGGUUCUUUUAAAGAUAACUGCACACUUCAACUGAAGUAAAUACGGAUUCAGAAAAACAAAAUCUUUGAUCAAAGCUAACAUGUCCUAAUUUCUGGUCCAUAUGAACCUCCAUUUUCUCUGGUUGUUACUCAAAAAUCUAACAAGCCACAUGCCUAAGCACGUGGCUAAGAGAACAACCAUUGGGACCUUCCUCUUUGGAGC
Molecule: RNA transcript, 1516 nt
Organism: Durio zibethinus
Lineage: Eukaryota; Viridiplantae; Streptophyta; Magnoliopsida; Malvales; Malvaceae
Gene: WRNEXO
Gene name: Werner syndrome-like exonuclease
Source: RefSeq, a predicted model, not a curated record